This 253-nucleotide ribosomal RNA is filed under the name uncultured bacterium. Its description in RNAcentral is "partial 16S ribosomal RNA". It matches the Rfam family "Bacterial small subunit ribosomal RNA", at positions 524 to 776 of the family's 1533-position model. The record is from RNAcentral.
UACGUAGGGGGCGAGCGUUGUCCGGAUUUACUGGGCGUAAAGCGCGCGUAGGCGGCUUUGCAAGUCGGGUGUGAAAUCCCCAGGCUUAACCUGGGAACUGCAUUCGAGACUGCAUUGCUAGAGUAUGGGAGAGGGAAGUGGAAUUUCCGGUGUAGCGGUGAAAUGCGUAGAUAUCAGUCGGAACACCGGUGGCGAAGGCGGCUUCUUGGGCCGAGAUUGACGCUGAGGCGCGAAAGCUGGGGGAGCGAACAGG